Molecule: transfer RNA, 72 nt
Filed under: Camelus bactrianus (Bactrian camel)
Lineage: Eukaryota; Metazoa; Chordata; Mammalia; Artiodactyla; Camelidae
Also listed under: 1 other name
Rfam family: tRNA
About the family: Transfer RNA (tRNA) molecules are approximately 80 nucleotides in length. Their secondary structure includes four short double-helical elements and three loops (D, anti-codon, and T loops). Further hydrogen bonds mediate the characteristic L-shaped molecular structure. tRNAs have two regions of fundamental functional importance: the anti-codon, which is responsible for specific mRNA codon recognition, and the 3' end, to which the tRNAs corresponding amino acid is attached (by aminoacyl-tRNA synthetases). tRNAs cope with the degeneracy of the genetic code in two manners: having more than one tRNA (with a specific anti-codon) for a particular amino acid; and 'wobble' base-pairing, i.e. permitting non-standard base-pairing at the 3rd anti-codon position.
Source: Rfam by way of RNAcentral
CAGGGUAUAGCUCGGUGGUAGAGUGUGUGCUUGGCAUGCACAGGGUCCUGAGUUCAAUCCCCAGUACUGUAA